AAGGAAGGAAGAGUAUAAGAUCAGUAGGUGGCGGUAAUGCACCUUUUUCGCUGGUUUGCCAAACCGCCAUAAAACACCAGAAGAAGAAGAAGAAGAAGAACAAG
Sinocyclocheilus grahami is the source of this 104-nucleotide long non-coding RNA. RefSeq lists it as uncharacterized. NCBI's taxonomy places the organism in Eukaryota, Metazoa, Chordata, Actinopteri, Cypriniformes, Cyprinidae. The record is from RefSeq and is a predicted model, not a curated record. The transcript has 3 exons.